GGAGUCUAGCAUGUGCGCGAGUCAUUGGGACUAGCGAAACCUAAAGGCGUAAUGAAAGUGAAGGCGCGCUUCGCGCGCGCCGAGGGAGGAUGGGCCGGGUCGAGGCCCGGCCCCGCACUCCCGGGGCGUUUCGUUCUCAUCGCGAGAAGAGGCGCACCCAGAGCGUACACGCUGGGACCCGAAAGAUGGUGAACUAUGCCUGGUCAGGACGAAGUCAGGGGAAACCCUGAUGGAGGUCCGUAGCGAUUCUGACGUGCAAAUCGAUCGUCGGAACUGGGUAUAGGGGCGAAAGACUAAUCGAACCAUCUAGUAGCUGGUUCCCUCCGAAGUUUCCCUCAGGAUAGCUGGUGCUCGUCUUUACGAGUCUCAUCCGGUAAAGCGAAUGAUUAGAGGCAUUGGGGUCGAAACGGCCUCAACCUAUUCUCAAACUUUAAAUGGGUGAGAACUCCGGCUUGCUUAGAUUGUGAAGCCGCGAGAUUCUCCAAGGAUCAGAGUGCCAAGUGGGCCAUUUUUGGUAAGCAGAACUGGCGCUGUGGGAUGAACCAAACGCAGAGUUAAAGCGCCUAAAUCGACGCUUAUGGGAUACCAUGAAAGGCGUUGGUAACUUAAGACAGCAGGACGGUGGCCAUGGAA
This 633-nucleotide ribosomal RNA is filed under the name Byrrhinus sp. UPOL RK0727. Its description in RNAcentral is "eukaryotic LSU rRNA". It matches the Rfam family "Eukaryotic large subunit ribosomal RNA", at positions 670 to 1259 of the family's 3401-position model. The record is from RNAcentral. Lineage: Eukaryota; Metazoa; Arthropoda; Insecta; Coleoptera; Limnichidae.